GCCGUUAGCUCAGGGACAAAGCCUCUGCUUUGCAUGCAGAACUUCUCAGGUUCAAUCCCUGGCAUCUCCA
Molecule: non-coding RNA, 70 nt
Organism: Podarcis lilfordi (Lilford's wall lizard)
Lineage: Eukaryota; Metazoa; Chordata; Lepidosauria; Squamata; Lacertidae
Source: the annotation of a GenBank genome assembly